GACGAACGCUGGCGGCGUGCUUAACACAUGCAAGUCGAACGGAAAGGCUCUGCUCUUGUGGGGUGCUCGAGUGGCGAACGGGUGAGUAAAACGUGAGUAACCUGCCCUUGACUUUGGGAUAACGUCAGGAAACUGGGGCUAAUACCGGAUAUGAGCACCUGCUGCAUGGUGGGGGUUGGAAAGUUUCGGCGGUUGGGGAUGGACUCGCGGCUUAGCAGCUUGUUGGUGGGGUAGUGGCUUACCAAGGCGUUGACGGGUAGCCGGCCUGAGAGGGUGACCGGCCACAUUGGGACUGAGAUGCGGCCCAGACUCCUACGGGAGGCAGCAGUGGGGAAUAUUGCACAAUGGGCGGAAGCCUGAUGCAGCAACGCCGCGUGCGGGAUGACGGCCUUCGGGUUGUAAACCGCUUUCGCCUGUGACGAAGCGUGAGUGACGGUAAUGGGUAAAGAAGCACCGGCUAACUACGUG
RNAcentral lists this ribosomal RNA (468 nucleotides) under uncultured bacterium. RNAcentral's name for it is "partial 16S ribosomal RNA". It matches the Rfam family "Bacterial small subunit ribosomal RNA", at positions 28 to 507 of the family's 1533-position model. The record is from RNAcentral.